This is a long non-coding RNA of Helianthus annuus (common sunflower), 427 nucleotides long. RefSeq lists it as uncharacterized. The record is from RefSeq and is a predicted model, not a curated record. The transcript is spliced from 3 exons. NCBI's taxonomy places the organism in Eukaryota, Viridiplantae, Streptophyta, Magnoliopsida, Asterales, Asteraceae.
GGUGGGAUCGACCAGGAGAAAGAGCAGAGGGGUGUAAACCCUAGCUCUCAAGAACAACAACACAAAUUCAGCCCAAUCAAAGCCAAAAUCGAAUGGAAAGCAUUGCAUGGGUGAAGAUCUCUCACUAUCUAGUCCUAACAAGCAUAUGAAAAAGGAACCACACUAGUAUGGACUCAAGCAUGGAAGGCUAACGGGUCAAGAGAAGGCAAGGAAGCGGAUACGAGCAAGAACGCAUAAGGUUACGCAGAUUAACAUUGGUAUAAAGUAUUGGAGGAUUAAAGAUCGAGUCAAGAGCAAGAAUUGUACGGGAAGAGUAGUCACAUAAACGGGGAUUUUAUAUGUAAAUUGGUCCGAUAAAUAAGAAUGAACAAUGUAAAUCUUUUAGUUAAGCAUUAAAUAUUUCUAGUAUUAGACAUCAAGUAUGUUA